CUGCUACAUUGCUGGACAAGAAUAACUUGGUCAAGUAUGAUAGGAAAAGUGGAUAUUUCCAGGUGACUGACUUGGGUCGUAUUGCGAGCUAUUAUUAUAUAACUCAUGGGACAAUUUCCACAUACAAUGAGCAUUUGAAACCUACGAUGGGUGAUAUUGAACUUUGUCGGCUUUUCUCUCUAAGUGAGGAAUUCAAAUAUGUAACAGUCAGACAAGAUGAGAAAAUGGAAUUGCCUACGAUGGGUGAUAUUGAACUUUGUAGGCUUUUCUCUCUAAGUGAGGAAUUCAAAUAUGUAACAGUCAGACAAGAUGAGAAAAUGGAAUUGGCAAAGCUUCUGGAUCGUGUUCCUAUUCCGGUAAAAG
Molecule: long non-coding RNA, 363 nt
Filed under: Nicotiana benthamiana
Lineage: Eukaryota; Viridiplantae; Streptophyta; Magnoliopsida; Solanales; Solanaceae
Description: long non-coding RNA (NBEN_LNC038529)
Source: RNAcentral